CCUACGGGAUGCAGCAGUGGGGAAUAUUGCACAAUGGGCGCAAGCCUGAUACAGCCAUGCCGCGUGUAUGAAGAAGGCCUUCGGGUUGUAAAGUACUUUCAGCGGGGAGGAAGGUGUUGAGGUUAAUAACCUCAGCAAUUGACGUUACCCGCAGAAGAAGCACCGGCUAACUCCGUGCCAGCAGCCGCGGUAAUACGGAGGGUGCAAGCGUUAAUCGGAAUUACUGGGCGUAUAGCGCACGCAGGCGGUCUGUCAAGUCGGAUGUGAAAUCCCCGGGCUCAACCUGGGAACUGCAUUCGAAACCGGCAGGCUAGAGUCUUGUAGAGGGGGGUAGAAUUCCAGGAGUAGCGGUGAAAUGCGUAGAGAUCUGGAGGAAUACCGGUGGCGAAGGCGGCCCCCUGGACAAAGACAGACGCUCAGGUGCGAAAGCGUGGGGAGCAAACAGGAUUAGAUACCCCCGUAGUC
RNAcentral lists this ribosomal RNA (465 nucleotides) under uncultured bacterium. Its description in RNAcentral is "bacterial SSU rRNA". It matches the Rfam family "Bacterial small subunit ribosomal RNA", at positions 338 to 795 of the family's 1533-position model. The record is from RNAcentral.